Pseudonaja textilis is the source of this 187-nucleotide non-coding RNA. The record is from RefSeq and is a predicted model, not a curated record. Lineage: Eukaryota; Metazoa; Chordata; Lepidosauria; Squamata; Elapidae.
CCGUGCGUUUUUUCUGCCUCCGGCACCUUCUCCCCGGAGCCUCCUUGAUUGGAAGGAUUUGCGAAUAACUCCCUCCACCAGGCGCCAGAAGCCCUCACAAUUAACGGGCCUGGCACCUCUUUCUAUUUAAACCUGAACUAUUUAGCUAUAUAUUCUACACUUGAUUGGCCCUUCUCCAGCAAAAAAG